AUACGUAGGGGGCAAGCGUUAUCCGGAUUUACUGGGUGUAAAGGGAGCGUAGACGGCAUGGCAAGUCUGAAGUGAAAACCCAGGGCUCAACCCUGGGACUGCUUUGGAAACUGUCAAGCUAGAGUGCAGGAGAGGUAAGUGGAAUUCCUAGUGUAGCGGUGAAAUGCGUAGAUAUUAGGAGGAACACCAGUGGCGAAGGCGGUUUACUGGACUGAAACUGACGUUGAGGCUCGAAAGCGUGGGGAGCAAACAGGAUUAGAUACCCUGGUAGUCCACGCCGUAAACGAUGAGUGCUAGGUGUUGGGGGGCAAAGCCCUUCGGUGCCGUCGCAAACGCAAUAAGCACUCCACCUGGGGAGUACGUUCGCAAGAAUGAAACUCAAAGGAAUUGACGGGG
RNAcentral lists this ribosomal RNA (396 nucleotides) under uncultured bacterium. RNAcentral describes it as "partial 16S ribosomal RNA". It matches the Rfam family "Bacterial small subunit ribosomal RNA", at positions 523 to 918 of the family's 1533-position model. The record is from RNAcentral.